Molecule: long non-coding RNA, 217 nt
Organism: Aquila chrysaetos chrysaetos
Lineage: Eukaryota; Metazoa; Chordata; Aves; Accipitriformes; Accipitridae
Exons: 2
Source: RefSeq, a predicted model, not a curated record
GCUGGGCUCGUCUCCCCCUGUCUGGUGAAGAACCUCUUGCCGUGGCCGGAUUCCUGCUCAGUUAAACUGCGGGUGACAGCUACAGCUUUCUUUGCUGAGAUCUCUCGGGGCGGCAGGACGACGGGGACCUCCGAGUGAGGCAGGCACCAGAGGAAUCCCUCCGCAAUACCUGGCCCCAGCCAGCACCACGGAGUUAAUUAAAGCUCAUCAAAAGACA